UAAAAAUUCAUGAAAUAACGAAAAUUAUCAGUACAAUAAAAAUAAAUGAAAUCAAUAAAAAUUAAUGAAAUAAUGAAAAUUAACAAUACAAUAAAAAUAAAUACAUUAAAAUUGAUAAUACAAUAAAAAUUAACUCAAUAAUGUUUUUCCUCAACAACAUCUCCAUGACUUAAACACAUUGUGGCCAGAACGUUCCACUUUUGUUAAUAUAUCAUAUUAGAUGAACAUUUUAUGAAAAUCACCAGAGGUCUCACUCACAAUUGGAAAACACUCUUUAAAUGUUGUUUUGAGAACGUUUCUACUUUGUAGUCAUAGAACAUAAUCUGUGUUCCUGACUACAUCUUCUGAAUGUUGACGCUAAAAGAAUCAUAUUAACUUUACAGGAACAUUUCUGGAAAUGAAAAUAUUUGUAAAAUGUAGUUUAAACAUUAGACUAAAACAUGAUUAGAACCUGCAGCUAAUGUUAUCCAGAGUGGUGGGAACGUUCUCCUGUGGAGCUUCAGAACUUCACCUCCACUGUGUUUCAUGUUUCAGAAUGGGAAGCGCCUUUAUAGAAGUGGCAGGAAGUGGAUUCAGGCUGAUCCUGGUUCUGGAGAGACCGGUUCCCUCCGGAGGGCAGUGGAGGUUUGCUGGAGGAGGCGGAGGCCAAGCCUCCAUCCAGCCGUCCGUGGAAAGGGGAUCUCUCUUUGAAUUGCCUUUCCCGAGGUUUCUUCCCAUCUUCCAUGGGGAGUUUUUUCUCGUCUUCAUAGAGAGCUUGGGCUGGAUCAAGACCUCCUCAAAAAUAAAACUUCAUUAUAAUAAAUAACACAUCAUUAUAGAUUA
Long non-coding RNA from Amphiprion ocellaris (clown anemonefish), 822 nucleotides. RefSeq lists it as uncharacterized. The record is from RefSeq and is a predicted model, not a curated record. Lineage: Eukaryota; Metazoa; Chordata; Actinopteri; Pomacentridae. The transcript is spliced from 2 exons.